Molecule: ribosomal RNA, 486 nt
Filed under: uncultured Acidobacteriota bacterium
Lineage: Bacteria; Pseudomonadati; Acidobacteriota
Description: bacterial SSU rRNA
Rfam family: Bacterial small subunit ribosomal RNA
Source: RNAcentral
GAGGAGCCUGCGGCGGAUUAGCUUGUUGGUAAGGUAACGGCUUACCAAGGCGAUGAUCCGUAGCCGGCCUGAGAGGGCGGUCGGCCACACUGACACUGACAUACGGGUCAGACUCCUACGGGAGGCAGCAGUCGGGAAUUUUGGGCAAUGGGCGAAAGCCUGACCCAGCAACGCCGCGUGAAGGAUGAAAUCCCUCGGGAUGUAACCUUCGCAAGAACGGGAAGAAUAAGUAGGGGACAAUACCCCCUAUGAUGACGGUACUGUUUGUAAGCUCCGGCUAACUCCGUGCCAGCAGCCGCGGUAAUACGGGGGGAGCAAGCGUUGUUCGGAUUUACUGGGCGUAAAGGGCGCGUAGGCGGCCACCGCAAGUCGACUGUGAAAUCUCCGGGCUUAACUCGGAAAGGUCAGCCGAUACUGCGGGGCUAGAGUGCAGAAGGGGCAACUGGAAUUCUCGGUGUAGCGGUGAAAUGCGUAGAUAUCGAGAGG